UUGCUGAUAACCAUAGUGUUCUCAUAUGUGCACCCGAGUUUUGUGAUAACUACUUACGUGAAAACAUGAAAAACUGCAAAAUUUAUUAUCAGUAUGUGGAUAUAGGGUUAAUUUAUAGUUUCUGGUUAAUAGGAAUUUGAUGGUAUGAAGAUAUUGCGGUUCGUGUUGGAAUUUGUUAAGUACAUCAACAUGUUGGAAAUCAGAUUCCUGUCCACUAUGAGUUGAAGCAUUGGACCUAGGAAUUUUUGUUCGAACGAUGCCAUAUCGGCAUAUCAUCUUGUAGGAAAGUAUUUCAAGGGGCUCAUGGGUGAGUAAGAUCCAUUUUUUACUUGGGAUAUUUUUUUCUGAAAUGUGUGUGUGAAAUGAUUGUAUGAUUAUUAUGCUUGCCUUAUACGAAUGUUUUAAGUUGCCAGUCCAUGGGACACGGGGUGUGAAAGUAAAUUUUAGUUAUGUGAUAUUAAACCUCUGUUUUUAAUAUCACACUACCAAACUUUACUUUAUUACUUUAUUUAAUAUUAUUUGACAGAAGCUUGCUCCCUAAAGAAAAUAGAAAAUCUAUGUCGGCCAACUUAGUAUUUGAAGAUGCAUAGAUUGCAAUUCAAUUA
Molecule: long non-coding RNA, 605 nt
Organism: Coccinella septempunctata (seven-spotted ladybird)
Lineage: Eukaryota; Metazoa; Arthropoda; Insecta; Coleoptera; Coccinellidae
Exons: 2
Source: RefSeq, a predicted model, not a curated record